AGACCCUCCUGCAAACUGUGAUUGUUUCUCCUUUUCCUGUUGAAAGUGCUGCUUUCUGAUACGGAAGAAGCAGAAGACCUAGAAGACAUGAUUGCUCGAACAUUUUUACUGCUUGAAUGUCACGUUUUGAGGCUGAUGCACCCACUACAAGUGAUAUAAUAUUUAUGUGCACAGCAAAAAUGGGUAUCAGAACUUAAAGUGAACCAGAUGGCUUAAGAAAGGACUCUGAACUGGAGGAUUUAAAAAUGCCCUUUGACUGUCAAGAUAAAGCUGGUAACUUUCCAUGGAGCCUUUUAGAAUGAUCCCAGUUUCCAGAAGAAACCCAUGCAGCUCUGGGACUUCAGGACAUAUGGGAUCUGCAUCUUUGUUGCUGACUCCCACUUCUGUUUUAAAAGGCAGCAAGAUAAACAGCCACUAUGGAAGGACUCUCCUCUGCUGUAUGAUCAGGCAAGCCAUGUCUUCUUAGCAUGAUCAGGACGAUGAUUCUUGACAGAGCUAAAAUUUUCCAAGGAAGAUAUUAAUUUUCAUUAAGGUAAGAAUGCCAAUGCCAUGUUUUUUUCAAUAAGCAGCAAAGACCCACAGAUACAUUUUGGACAUGUGGUAAACACCUGCUAAGUAGGCUGAGAACCUGACUCCUUCCUCCACUCAGGUCUCCAGAUCUUUCUCAGCUCUUCAUAGAUAAAGUGUUGGCUCUGUUAGAGUCAACAGGAGAUAGGCCUUUAAUUUGAGCAAGUCCAGGAU
This 741-nucleotide long non-coding RNA is filed under the name Parus major (Great Tit). RNAcentral describes it as "lncRNA (ENSPMJG00000015211.1)". Lineage: Eukaryota; Metazoa; Chordata; Aves; Passeriformes; Paridae. The record is from RNAcentral.